This 85-nucleotide small RNA is filed under the name Arabidopsis thaliana (thale cress). RNAcentral's name for it is "ATSL061400". Lineage: Eukaryota; Viridiplantae; Streptophyta; Magnoliopsida; Brassicales; Brassicaceae. The record is from RNAcentral.
AAUCAUUGUACUUCACCGCUCAUCUUCGUUUAAUUCUACUUUUCUGAAAAAACAAAUCAUCACAUCAUCUUUUCGCGUAUGCUAU